AGAGCGAACGCUGGCGGCAGGCUUAACACAUGCAAGUCGAGCGCCCCGCAAGGGGAGCGGCAGACGGGUGAGUAACGCGUGGGAACGUACCUUUUGGUUCGGAACAACACAGGGAAACUUGUGCUAAUACCGGAUAAGCCCUUACGGGGAAAGAUUUAUCGCCGAAAGAUCGGCCCGCGUCUGAUUAGCUAGUUGGUGAGGUAACGGCUCACCAAGGCGACGAUCAGUAGCUGGUCUGAGAGGAUGAUCAGCCACAUUGGGACUGAGACACGGCCCAAACUCCUACGGGAGGCAGCAGUGGGGAAUAUUGGACAAUGGGCGCAAGCCUGAUCCAGCCAUGCCGCGUGAGUGAUGAAGGCCCUAGGUUGUAAAAGCUCUUUUAACGGGAAAGAUAAUGACGGUACCCGUAGAAUAAGCCCCGGCUAAACGUUCGUAGCCAGCAGCCGC
This 447-nucleotide ribosomal RNA is filed under the name uncultured bacterium. RNAcentral's name for it is "SSU rRNA". It matches the Rfam family "Bacterial small subunit ribosomal RNA", at positions 26 to 518 of the family's 1533-position model. The record is from RNAcentral.